AAGAAAGAAGCUUCCCAAAUUGCUUGGCAUCUCAUCAAGGAAAGCGAAGGAUGAAUUCCAGUGUGAUAGCAUCAGAGGUAUUCAUUAUGUAACCUAAAAUAGAUCUGUGUGGUUUUGCUAAUGACAGGCUCUUUAUUGUUUUUUUUCUGAAGAAAAAAGAUAGAGUAGGUUGUACUAGGAGAUCAUGUGGUUAUGGAGGAAUGUAUUCUGGUACCUGGGGAUAUAUUUGGCAAUGACAUAAAAUAAACUACAUUUCACACUAAGAUAUAUGGCGAAAUGAUGUAUUGGCUAGUUUUGAGUGGCACACAGUUACAGGUAAAGAGCUGUCCGUCAUCAGAUGGGAGGUCGACUUUCCCACCAAGAUUCAAAUAAUCUGGUAAUUGUUAACAUUUUUUGCCUCUUUGAUAGGCAACAUUUGCUAGAUGUCAAGAUUCACUUGGGACUUUGAACUGAUAUCAUAUCUGACAUCUUCCUCUGUGUGCCUUCUUGCCACAUUAGAGGUGAAGAAGACACCACCUAGUAAACUAUUUUAAAGAAUUGUCAUUUAAAGAAUUUCUUCCAGCCUAAGGUAAAAGACCCAAGCACUUUGCCACAGUGGCUGCAUUAUACAGUAUAAUUAAAUGUAGCUGAUAACGUAGGUGUAACACAAUAGCUUUCUAAGUAAUGCCAUUCUUGGAUACCUUUUUAGAACUUUGUAGUUCUUUUCUCUGCUCAAUCCUCAUUCACUAUUUCUGCAGUAACUUUGAAAAAUAAGUUUUUGUUUUCACAGAAUCGUGAGCAUCCCAAGUGGGAAGGGAUCUCAAAACAUCACCCAGUCCAACCUUUUGUGGGAAAGGGAGCCUAGAUGAGAUUAUCUAGCACCCUGCCCAGGCAGUUCUUAAAAACCUCCUGCGAUAGGGCUCUUCCACAUCCCUGUGGAGGUUGUUCCACUGAUUGAGUGUCCUCACUGAGAAAAAUUUUUUUCUUAUACCAAGAUGAACCUUCUCCUGGUGCAACUUCCCCUUUGUCUCCAUGUGUCUCCCUGUGAAGAGAGAGCCUCUGUCCUCUUUCUAGCCACCACUGAAGUACUGGAAAGCUGAUGAGGUGCCCCCUGAACCUCCUCCAGGUUGAAAAGACCUGACUCAUUCAGUUUCCUCAUGUGGCAGGGGAAUUGUCAUUUUCCAGACACAACAUGGGAAAGACCAUAAAUAUGUAAUUUUUUAAAAAAAUCCAAGUUCUGUAAGAAAGAAUUGCAUAAGCAUAUUGCCAAAAAAGAAGCAUUGCUUGUGUCGGUGAUAAGGCACAUCCACCUUGUAUUUCUGUAUGUUUCAGUCUGAUUCUUACAGUAGUUCCAAGUGGAAAAAAAAUUUAAUGCUUUCUCUAGAUGUGCUCAGUACAAGACCAGAAUUCUAAAUCUUAAAAAACCCAAACAAAUCCAAACCCAAACAAAGCCAACUGCCUGGACUGAAUUACUGGAACAGGAACUGGUUUUAGCUUCAGAAUUCAGUGGAGAUCCUGCAGUAACUGGUUCCAUGGGGCUUAAUGCCAUUUGACAUCACGGGUCAAUUUGUCAUACAGUUACAAUACUUUAAAAAAAUGUCUUCAAAGAAGAGCUUGUUUUCAUAGAAAGUACCUGAAAGAGAAAGCUGAGGUUCUAAGAUUAGACUAGAAGCCAACAUCCUACCCUGAGAUAACUCACUGUUAGUUAAACCAGUCAGAACUAAACUAGCAGGGGAUUUAUUUUGGCGUGACUCAAUCAGUAUUUCAAAGUUUAUGGCAGUAACUCAAGCUUGAAGUAGAAAGUAUUAGUAAAGCUUCCAGUUGCUGUUUUCCUAUUGCAUGAGCCAUUAUAACAGUUGAUACAAAUUGAAUAAGUAAAAAAAUGAGCAGUUGUACCUAGUUAAGGGUUUUCAAUGUGGACUUAAGGUCUUUAAAGGCAAUGGUUAAAGAGCACAUAAGGUAUUAAUACAUUUCUCAGAACGUCUAAACGCUUUUACAUUACAGUAUUUGCUCAUUUUCAACAAAUAAUUAAUUUCAGUGAACUAUUUUUGUGCGCUACAUCUGCUUGUGGAUCCUCGUAAUGGGCACUAUAAAAUGCUGCAGUAGUGUUGUGAUCCUGGAUAUGCACACUAUUUGUCACCUGGUGCUGAUGCUGUGUUCUGGCAGCUGUGAUGUACAAUCUCCUGGCUUGCCUUGUUCUGCUGGGCCUGGGGAAAUAGAAGAGAAAAAAUUUCCAGCAUACUCAGUAUAGCUGGCUGUGGGGACAUAGGAUAGAGAGGGAAGCAACCCUCCUGUCAUCCCAGCCUGGAUUUUCUUAGUGUUAACAAUAUACUGUGAUUCGAAAAACACUGUGCUGCUGUUACUGUCUUUUUUUCUCCCCCACUAUCAGUAUUAUGAAAUAUUCAAAAGACAUUAAAGAGUGGACACAAGUGACCUUUUUUGCCUUGUGUGUUCAGUGUGCAGACAUUGUGCACAGCGAAUGCUGUCAUACAGUGUUUUCUGUUAACUUCUUAAGGCAAAAAUGGUGUGCCAAUGAUACACAAGGGCAAAUCUAUAUGGUGCUGGUUAGGAGGAUUCCUUAAGCCAUUUAGGCUUGCUGAAUACACAGUUUGCUCCUGUUUGUCUAGCGAUAGGAUGUUUCAGUCUCAAUCAAUAAAAGCCGGGUUGACAGAGAGUGUGAGUGUGCAUAGAUACACAUUGCCACUAGAUACACGUUUCCAUUAGCUUUGUUGACCUGGAGUAAAAGCAUAGCUUUAGUUAAGCUGUUAUUCAUAUGUAUAGAUAAAUGUUUGCUGAACACUUGCUACUACAUGAAAAACCUUAAGGAUGAAUGUAACAAAUGUAAGGACAAACGUAAUGUCUAUACUUACACUUUUUAUUACAGGAAUGUUUAUGUGUAAAAUACUGGUUUGCUUAUACAUGUACCAGCUGCUCAUUACUUGCCUUUAGUUACAGCCCUUCUCAGGGUGACAAAGAGUGAUGUGAGGUAAAGGGUGAGUAGAGCACAUAGGGACAACUUGAGAAGAUAAUUCUGUUUUCUUAGUAUCUUACAAUUCAAAAAUAAUCGCUAUUUAUGUUUUUGAGGCAAUGGAAUAUUUUAGCUGGUGGAACUCUGCAGGGAAGAUUCUUGGUUUUUGUGCUGUCAACUUUGCUCUUCAAGGACAUCAAGAACACACAAUGCUAUUAAGUAUAUCAUGUUUGGCAUUCCUGAAAUAUGCAUUACUUAUUUGUAUCCACCAUAUUUUUUUCCAAAUAAAACUGGAGGAUCCACACUGUAGCACUUUCUUUGUAAAUAUGUUUGUAAAUCCUUAUCAAUCUGAUAUAAAGAAAAUCCACUAAAAGAAGUGGGGUUUAGAGUUUGAUAUUCUUAACUCUUGAAAGACGUGUUCCAUCCUGUGUUUCCUUGAAAGCUAGAUGUAUAGUAACCGAUAAUCUUGUAAUUCACUUUGCUGAGACCGAGAUGGUUAGUGAGAUAAUUUGCAUCAUUCUGGAAGGAAAGUAUGUAUAGAAAAGAAUCCCACAUCCAAAAUAGCAAAUGUCUAAACACUCUGUUUAUGUUGCACACAGACAUGCCUGGUGCUGCAUGGAAAGCCUACUGUAUUUUGAGGUAUUAGUAUGGAAAAGGAAAUCUCUGACUGUUUAAUCUUUCUUAUUCACACUUAGUUCAGUAGAGACAUGAGCUGGUUGUCUUAACAAUUGUGGACCAACCUUCAUUCAAUUGGAAAAUUAUUUCAGGAUCAUGGGCUUAAAAAUCACUUGAAUAGUUGAAACAGCGAUGAGUAGUUAAUGUCAGUGAAUUAAAGUGAAUGGCCAGUUGAUUCUGAACAUGUAUUAGCAGCUUAAGGAGGAUUUACAUGUUACUGUGUUUUUCCACAGGAGUUAUAAGUGUACUCAGCAUGCUUAUCAGAACUGGGAAACAUGCAGAGUAUCACCCAAAAAUGUAAAAUUCAUCAUGACAAUAAUUGAGUCAAACUGGAAAGGAAAGAUUGAACAGAUUUGUUAUGUGAGUUCACACAGGAUUUGGCUCUUGACCAUGAGUUUGUUAAGAACAUAGGAGGAAAUAAAGUAAAAGUAAAAAAUCUACAGAUGCCACAAAACUUAAAUACUAAGGAACUGCUCAAAGAGAGUAAGAUGAAUUGCAACUUGCAUUUCACUGUGGCCUAAAAUGAACCUGAGUUUCUACUAGCAUGGAGGUUUGAGAACAUACUUAGCAAGUAGAACAAUUUGUGGUAGGAAAUACUGACUUUGAACAGUGUGUGGAGACAAUGUGCAUUCUCAAUUGAACAUGAAUUUUCAGCAUGCCUUGCAGCCAAAAGGGCUGGUGAGAUCCUGAGGUUUAGAAAUGGGAAUACUGUCAGGGAAGUGAUAUUGUUGACUAUUUGACUCUGGUGUAACCUUUUGAAAGAAUGCUAUGCCCAAUUCCAGGAGUCAUAAUUUUCAGUAGUGCUGGGAAGUUGGACAGACAAGGCCAUGAGAGCAAUAGAAGGAUUAAAAAAAAGCACUGGCAUGAAAGUCUCAACAAACAGAAUUUACUUAGUUUAGUGAAAGAAUUAGCCUAGACAAACCAUCUUUGGAGAAAAAAAAAUAUAAUAAGGAACUGUUCCAUCUAGCAGUGAAAGAGUGAUCCAGCAAUUCUAAGUAGAAGUUGGACGUGUUACAAGAAGGGAUAAAGGUACAUAACAGAAUGGUAAAGAUUUCCCUGUCUGGACAUGUUAGAUGAUUUCAUGAAAAAAUGUGAUUUGAUAGAAAGAGGACCAAUUCAGACAAGUCAGAUCCAUGUUACACAACAGGUCAAAUUAAAUAAUCACAAGUCAUAUUUGGCUGCCCCAGGAGUAACUUGUCUGCUGACAGAAUUUCACAGAGGUUUGAGAGCCAGAGAUUGUGAACUCAUUUCAGUUCUGCUGUAGUGUGAUCAGUACACAGAGCAAGUUGUGUGCUAAAUAGGCUACUGGAUACGUUUAGCCUUGUUCUUUCUGUCUCUAGAGAAUUGCAAAUGGUCUACUAAUGCACACUCUGACUUGACUCAUGGCUAUUAGGAUAUGGCUCAUUAGUUUUAAAUUUCAUUAUACAAAAAGUCCUGUGAUGGUUUGGGCUAUAAAUACUUUCAUUAUGAAAAUGAGGUGAACAGACACAGAAGGAAAGUGCCUGUGUAAAUGUCAGCUUUAUUGAAUGUAGCUAACUAUUAUUUAUUUUUCCAAGCUUUUAAAAGUUAGAGAUCUUUUAAGGUUUAUUAGAUGCUCUUGGACCCCUUCUUUCCAUUCUUGUUUACCUGACAUUUCUCUGUGCUUUCACAAGCAAGUUGCAAUACAAUGGCUAUUUUCAAUUCAUUUUCAGCUCAUAACAGGAUCUAUAUAAGACAAAAUGAAAAAUCCAGUGUUUCCUUAUUUGUAGUUAAACUCAACCUUUUAUAUGCCAACCAAAGAUGCCCUAUAAAGCUUAGAGAAGUUAAAGUGUGCUCAUAGGGUUCUGCUCUAGCAACAUAUUAUGAUAAAAAUGUAUUUUCUGUAAAUUUUAGAAUAAUUCACUAAAUUAUAUCUAAAUAGAGUAAGCAUUUAGUGGACUUUUUUACUAAGUACAUGUGGCAAUCUGAUUCUGUUUAAAAUGCUAAUAAAUGCAUCCCAUCUCUAAUGAAACUAGUGCUCCCUGCAUAAUUAAUUAGCAUUUAAUACAGAUGAGGACAGGAAAGCCAUAUUCACAGUCAUUUUUAACCAGAAUAGUUAAUAAAAGAAUUAUUCACAGUUCUGAAAGGUCACACGUGAAUAGCUCAUUUCUGCAAAACGGAUAUUUUUUUGCAAGUAAAAAUUUUAGUGAAGUUUACCUGGAAUCGUUGGUCCAUACAGCUUUUAUCCACAAGGUGGCAUUCCUAACAGGAGUUUACAAGACAUGGUAAUUUCUUGCAGUUUUUGAAGCGCUCUAAGUGAAAGGCAGUCAUAAGCAUUUGUAAUGUUAUAUGAGAUUUUUAUGUUUUAAUUUUUAUAAAAUGCAAUUAACAGUAAGUCAGAAACAUUAAUGAUAAUUAGUUUAAUACUGAUUGAUAUGUGGAGUACCCAGAAAUAUGUGAUGGUUCCAGGUCAGCAAAACAGCAUAUUAAUUCAUGGCAUUAUAUGCUACUAUGGACACUUUCCAAUGGUAAAUCCGGAAUCAAUUUUGCUUUAAUAAAAGAAUAUAAAAUAAUAAAAAAAUCAAUUAUUUAAAUCAAGAGCACAAAUAAUAUCAUGAUCUUAUAUGCAAAACCCCAGUGUUUGGGGUUUUGGUUAUGAUGCAGCUUUUAGUGGAUGCUGGGUUAAAGAAGAACCCAUAACAGUAUUCACAGGGGAGGAUUUUUCAUAGCUUAAUGUUACAAUGACCAAGAAGGGUAUUUUCAGAUGCCUGUCAUCCAGGUUGGUCACUGAGCCCACAGGCAGCCCUGCUUUCUUUCAGGCUUUAUAUCUUUUUCACUUUCCUGUAAUCUUUGCAUGCUAUAUAUAUGUAUAAAAAGAAUACAUUGCUCGUUAUUCAUUUUAUACAAGCAUGAAGGGAGUAUAAUACAACCUGCUAAACCAAUACAAGUGUACUAGGUUUUAUAUAACAGAGACAUGCAUAUUAUGCUUUUCUCUCCCAUGGGUAAGGUUCUGAUCUUACUUUUGCUUCUUUUGCUGACUCUGUAAGAUCAGACCUGAGCUAAGUAAUCAUUUCUGUUUCCCUUUUAGCUAGUGCCCUAGUUGCAUUUUGUUUGGAAAAAAAGCUAUAACCUUAAGUUUAUGCUUAAACUGGAAUCCAGUGUAAACUGUGCAUUUAUUUUUUUUUCAAGUCUAUUUCAAGUCAACAGAAAGGAAUACGGUAGAGUAGUUGUUUAUUUGUUUGUUUGCCUUAUUGUUUUGUGGUAGCAAAAAUUCUAUGGUGUCUUUUCUAAUGCAUGUGUACAUUUCCUGUUAAUCCUUCUGCUCCACGUGCCGCCCCCCACUGAUACCAGAGCCCUCUGGUUUUGCUUCCUAUCAUUUAACACAGCUGAGAGGUUGGAGUAGCAGCUACAUCCACUGCUGACACUAAUGACAGUCUUUGCUGAGAGACAGGGUACUACUUUGACAUUAAGCAGAUAUUCUUUUUCCUAACAUGCUGUUAUACCUCUCUCAUUUCUCAAAGAUGGCUAUGAAAAGUGGAAUAUGAAUUCUUGUUCACUGAAAACAACUGUCAGUCAAAAAACCCCGACUUUCAGAAUGAUUGGGCAGGUAGAACUUACCUGCUGGAUGAAUCUGGCACAAGGACUGCAGAGACAAACCUGAGUUAUUAUUGUCUCAUGAUGACUACCAGUAAAAUUUGAGGGCCUGAACAUCUCCUAUAUACCGCAAAUUUUAAAGAAAUGUGGUGACAAUGUCUAUUUCAAGGGUGUGGAAAUGGCUGGACAAAGAAAGUUAUACAUAAUAAUUAGGAAAUGUUGAUGAGGAAGUAAAUAAUUUGUGGCUGUUACCUUUCAAGUUACACAUUGAAUUUUCUUUGUAGUACUUAGAUAUAGGAUUAGGUGAGUAGAUGGGGACAAGGUUCCUCUGAGAAGGGCAACAAGCCUCUCCUAGGGAGGAGGUUUAAAAAUAGGGAAAACAAAUGUACUGAGGAAAGGAACAUUCUCUGCUUUGAUGACUGCCAUGUAGAAAGGGCUUGUAGUGAAGGAUAGUCUGUAAACAGAACUAUACACAGCUAAACAAGUGAACAGGUCAGUCAAGGUAAUGGCAGGGUUCAGGGUCCCCCAAAAAGCCGUAAUGUGUAGGGUGCGAUGGACACCACCAGUAGAAAUCAGUGGUCUUGAGCAUUGCUGAUGUUGCUUCUGAGACAUCUCAUGAUGUUGGAUCAGAUGGAUAAGUACUCCAGCUCCCAGAAAUGCGGGAAGGAGAUUGCACUGAAUUUGUCCUUUUGCCUGAGUUAUAUGACAGCAACUAAGAGUUCAUAUAACCAAGAGCUUGCAGGUAACACUGUCAGAAAAAAAGUCCAUACUGACUGCAGACAAAUAAUAGUCCUGAUACUUUAUGAUGGAUCUGCAAAUUACUUUGUUAGUACAAAGCACGUCAGGGGCUAAUUUGAUGCGGUUUAUUGUUUGCAAGAGGUGGAUUAUAAAUGUUGGGAAUUGCAUCUUAUGUAACUGCUGCUGGGUAGGCAUAGGUAUGAGUAAGUGUGAACUGGGAAAGGAAAAUGAUACUGGGAACUGUAACCAUAAGUAUUAUCGCUUCCCAUAUGUAACAAACUUGUGCCUAGGGCAAGGAAGCACAAUUACUGACAGAAGCUGUGUUUGUUCAUGCAAGUGAUUUUAUUGCUCUAAGUGAUUUAUCACUGUGGAUUAUGUUUUUUGAUGAAAGACUUUUCUGGAAUAAUUGUACUCAAAAGGAAAUGAGUUGUUUACCUUCAAUAGACAACCAGGUCUGUCCAUUGAAAAUAAGUUACAUUUUUAAAGUACUUUUAUAAGGGUUUUUAAUUGGUGGGAUACAACGGGCCAUUAUGCAAUAUGGGGGUUUGCUUCCCCAAGUUAGUAACAUAAUCUCUUUCUCUCUCUCUCUUUCACUUCCUCGGUCUCAGAAAUCUAGAACUACACAUUUUAGAAAAUCAUCAGAUACUUAAAUAUUUCAUACACUUCCAAAUUAUAUUUCACUUCAUCUAUUAUCAAAAGAAUAUGCUGGAUUCUCUGAAUUUAUAUUAGGUGCUGAAGAUACAUUGAUGAUUACUGAAAAACAGUCCUCAUUUCCUUUACAAAAAGAUGUUACAUUUUCAAAUUGCGCAGCACCUGAAUUGCCGGAGUCUCUGUUCCUUGUGCUCCUGGAUCACUGAUGGUAAAGCUCUUACUUUCUUAUGCAUUUAUACUGUUGUGAAAAGAAAUAGUUAUAAGUACAGGUACCUUCCUUCUCAGAGGCAUCUGAAUGCAAAACAGACACAGUUAUCCACUAUGGUACUUUGGCCUGACAUGGGAAUUACUUUACUAAAGGCAAAUCAAACCUAAUACCCAGUCAACCCCUGUUCAAAUGCAGAGUGGCAAAGCUGAGCCGGAAGAUACCAAGUGAAAAGUGAACUUUCCAAUGCUGUAUAAAAGCCAGUUGAAAACUACUUCACAAACUACUAAGAUCUCUGUAGUGCCCAAUACCACAAAUUGUUACUCAUUUCCGCAAGGCACAGCUGACAGCUGACGGGGGAAAUGAAGAAAUAUAAAUUACUUUUCUUUUUAAAACUGUCCAAAAUAACAUUUGCCUUCUGUGAGCACUUAGCUACUUGUGCUAAGCCUUGGGGUGAAGAGUGAGUCUUCCACCUCCCAAAGUGGUGGCUCUUUCAUGAGUUCCGGGGCAGCAGAAGAAUCAUCUUCAGUGAUGAGAUUUUUUUCCUUGUAUUAAUGCAUGAUCUGUUUCAUAAAUCAAAUUACAUAUAAAUGAAACAGCUUAAAAGUAACUGUGCAGCUGAGCAACUGAUGAGUUAUUGUGCCUUAUGGCUGCUGUGGCUGUGUGGGUAAGCACGAAAAAGACAAAAAUUGGUCUCUUUAACCUCCAGUGUCCCUUCUAUCUCCCCUAUGAGUUUCCUGUCACUUUAAUUUAGGAUGUAUUUUGAUCAACUUAUGAAAUCAAUUAUAUGAUACAUUUGUCUCCAAUUCCCCAGAAACAAUUAUCUAGUCCUGUGUUCCUAAAUUCCCUCCUGUACGCUGCCUUACUAUGUUGGUUUUUUUUUGAUAGCUGUAAUAGAUGUUGUUAGUGACGAUGCUGUUUGUAGAUCUGGUUUUAGAGGUUAGACAGAAGAAUUAAGCAACAUUUGGAGUGUCAUUGAGACCACCUUGGUAAUUUUUUUUGGUUUGUAAAGCAGAUGUCUCUAUAAUGCACUCAAAUUCUUCACCGUCACCCAUUGUCAUAAAGUCAUUUUAGCAUAACUAUUUUUUAAUUCUCUAAGCCUUUUCAAGGAAUAAUUUAAAGUAAGUCUUUGUUGGAUAAAUUUAACUCUAUGUUACAACUCAAAAUACCAGAAUCAUAAAAUUUAGAAAAAAUAUUCUUGUAAUAAGCAUUUUGUAAUUAAUUUAAUUGGGUUUCUUCCAGGCUGAUACUUGGACUACAAAUCGAGAGUUUUAUUUCCCUUUUGGCCUCAGGUGGUUAAGCAAGCAGAAGGACAUUGGACAAAAGGGACUACCUGGACAAUUUAAGCUGCACUGCAAGUAUACAUUGGUUCCAUCCAUUUUAAUUUGGGGGGAGUUUGUGGUUGGUUGGGUUUGUUAUUUGUUGAUUGUUUUAUUUGUGUUUUUUUCAAUAAAUUAAGAUGCAAACAUAAAAUGGUUGGCAGUUUAGCUGUCCUUGAAAUGUCAGGUCUGAGAACCAUAUUUGGAAUGAGAUUUAUCCAUUUUGGCAUAUAGUGAAAGUUACAGUGAGAAAUUAUUUUAGUGCCAGGUCUCCAAAGCUACAAAGUGUGAACUAGAUAUAGACAAAAGGUGGAAAAAUGUAUCCCAUGAACUAACCAGCCCCUUGAUUAAAUCACUCAGGAACCUGUACAAGUAGGAUUUCAUACAGAAGGAAGAGAUGAAGGUGCACAGGAAAAAAGACUUUCUAGUCACACUGUGAGCUCCUGCUUUGUAGCAGCUGCUGCUGCCCAAACUCCUCUAAGAAAACCAGUCUCUGCUGUAAGCUGAUGGCAGAAAUGUUGUUGCAUGGUGUACAGUAGCAUUUACUAAACAGGCAAGAGAUACAUUUUGGAAAGAGACUCUCAGCAGUCUAUCAACUGGAAAAUAAAUUAUCUUUUUCUGCAGCCCACUCCAUUAUACCCCACUGCCCUUAGUUGCCUCCUCUGAACUUGGAUUCACUACAUUUCCAGGCACAUCUGGGCUUAGAGAACAUAUUAUGUAGCACAAGGGAGAGCAGGUGGUCCUGUGCAGCCCUGUUUGUGUUCAGCCUAAUCUGAGAGAUUGGCUUUUGGAGGAGGGGCAGAGAUCUGGGGGCAUAUAUGCAAUUCAUCAUCACUGUUUCCAGCUGAAUGUGAGAAACUGCUACACCUGCUGCUCUGCUUCUGAUGGGCUUUGAAAUAUAGGCAGGCUGAAGGACGUGUGAGUUUUUCUUUCAUGAUAACAAAAAUAAGCACUUUGUUCUGGUAUCUGUAAAGUUAAGGCAGUUUCCUACAAGCAGCGAUAAUUCAAGAGCAGUUUCUGGCUUGUGAUUGACACAUGAAAAGGAAGAGUAUUUUUGGAAACACUGGCUGAUUUUAUUAUUAAAAAAAAAGGAAAGAAAAUCACUGCUAAUUUUCAGUUUGCUGAGUCUUUUAAUACAUAAUUUCCAACUGAAACACAUUGAAUUAUCAGACGGAAGAGAAGUAAUUCAUUGCUGUGAGAUAAAACCAUCAGUAUAAAGUAACUGCUAGAAAUCUUCAUCGUGCCCUAGGAAGGCAUCCAGGUGCUUCUAUGCCACAAGAAGUUUAAACAAUGUUCAGCUGUGAACUAGGACCCAGAAUAAGGAUGCAAAGCAAAUGCCUGUUGACAUAUACAACCUGUCCCAGGGGAAUGAGAGUGCAUUAGACGACUGGGAAGAUCCCUAAAACCAAACUGCAGGUAUGGGUGCCCUGAUGGGAAGCAGACCAAACAUACAGUAGCUUGGAGGCUGUGUUGGAAGAUACAAGCUGUAAAUGCACUUUCUGUGUUUGCCAGACACUUUUAGAGAAAACUGGGAAGAUUCAGUCCCAACUCAUGAAAGAUUUUUGCAAAUCUGCAGAUGCCAAGCCUGAGUUUGAGGUCCAGGAGAGGCCAAGUGCCACCUGUGUGGUUGCUGCUGCAGCAGUACUAAUGCAUCCUCCCCGGUGCAGAAAUUGGGGAAUUUUGCUGCCCUGCUGUGGGGAGCAGGUGGGUUCGUGCAGGGUAAGUGCAGAACUACUGGUGCUGGCUGCCCCAUCCCAUCCUGACCUCCUUCACCCUCUCCCCUUGCUGCAGUACCACAGCUGCCUCGACCACUGUCCUUCCCUGCAGUGAGUAGUUCACCUGCACUACCAAGAGCCCUUAGGCUAAUUUGGGGAUUUAGGGAAGGCAAUAAGAGGUAUACUAACAGUGCAUAUAGAUAAAGUAAUACUUGAUUUUUGAAAAAAAUUUGAAAUACAGUUUUCAAACGGUGUUUAAAAAUGGAUUCCAAGAAGAAUCUGAACUUCCCUUGUAAAUAAUCAAAAUUAUAAGUUAUCCACUGGAAAUACAAUCUGUAGCUUCAUUGAAGUUCAUUUAUUUAAGCAGGCUGUGAAUUAUUCUGGUUUUUUUCAUCACCUGACUAUCUGGCUGACUCUGUGUAAUAUUAGCGUCUGCAUCUGUAUAAUGGAAGUAAUAGUACUAUGCAUCUUUGAAGACAACCCUGGAAUUUCAGAAUAAAGAGUUUAUUUAAGUGCUGGAUUUUACUUUGUGGAAACUCUGCAACCUGAUUCAUUUCAAGUGAAUCUCGAAAGUGUUGUGGAGUCCAGUGGGAGCAAGAUUGGAUUACUGCAAAAUGCAGGCUUGAAAUCAAUUAUAUAUUUAUUACCUUUAAAACAAUUAUCCAUUACAUUCCCUCUUAACCUUUUCAUUAUUGUUUUACACAGGGUAAAAGAGCUACUCCAAGAAGUGACUCUGUCCAAAUGUGAACAUGAACAGAACAUCGUGCUUUCCAAAGCAAUUACAAUUCUCAUUCACUCUUUCCAUCUCCCUCAUGCUUGCUGUGUGUAAUGAAGCUGAAAGACAACAAGGGACAUGGUCACUGGAGAUACUUGUCAAGCCUGUGACUGAAGCUACUGAAGUUCUCUACUGAUAUGCCACGUGAAAGCUUGGGUAAAGAAGUGCUACACUUCCAAAGUCAAACAUUCAGUUACUAGGAAAUAACCAAGUCAUAUCUUCCAAGGCAGCCUUAGCUCAAUUUUCCUAUUUAUGCACGUUAUAAUAUAGUAUUUAAUUAUGUCACCACAGAUAAGUUAUUCCUGAAAUUUCCUCCUAAUAACUUCUCUGAGCAUUUGUGUAUCUAUGUAGCUCUUAGAGCUGGGCCUUUAUUUCUCCCAGAAAGCACUGUAUUAGAACCCAGCAGAGAGAGAUUUGAUCUAAACUCUUGAUUUCCUAAAGUCUCAGAGGCAAAGUCAACCUGGCAUGACAGCCCUUAGUGAGGAGAGCUGGGGGCUUGGCCCACAAAGUACAAAGUGGAGCUAUGUGUCUGUCCGUCCCAUCCGCUUCUCCCUUACAUUUUGCUAGAAGUACAGUGACCAAAGUGAUGGCUUAGUGCCUCCCCAGCAAUUCAGCCCCACCACUUGCUGAUUAACCAAAAGCCCCUUGCCCAGUUGGAAGAGCCCAUCCAUGCUAGCUGAGGAUUGAAGAUUUUAUUUUGCUCUAGAGAAAGGAAAACUGCAGUGUGGUUUUAAAUCCUUUCACAGAGGAAGGGUAUAGAGCAGGUGGCCAAACAUGCUAAGGAGGACUUUGGACUCAGGCUAUGGCUGGUCUGAGACUGGGAGGUGUCAGGAAACACCUUGCAAAACACUGGGAGUAAGAGUGGACAGCAGCUCUGCAAUUUUCAUUUUCCUUUCGGCAGUAGCUAAUUAGUCUCUGUGUAGGGAACAGGUUCCCGGUGAAAAGCAAAGCCCUGCACUGGCUGUUACCAGGCAAUUAUUCAUUGCCAUUCAAGCAAUUAUUGCUGCCUCUGGGACAGCAGCUACUUUCUACUUUGAGAAACACCGGAGACAACUUUCCAUUAAGCAGUCACUCUUGUUUACAGGAAAAUGCACAAAUAAAUAAUAGAAAUAAUCUACCAA
Pipra filicauda (Wire-tailed manakin) is the source of this 13698-nucleotide RNA transcript. It is a transcript of the gene named threonine synthase like 1, with no coding region annotated. Lineage: Eukaryota; Metazoa; Chordata; Aves; Passeriformes; Pipridae. The transcript is spliced from 2 exons. The record is from RefSeq and is a predicted model, not a curated record.